ACCGAACAGCAUACAUGCCUACUCUGUCUAAAUGCAUAUGGCCAAAAGAUGUUCACUGUGAAACUAUGAUCAACACAGAUGUCAUCUGGAAAUUGCCCCUGGAUACCAUAUCCUGGUACCAAUCUCUAGCAUGAUUUGGAGACCAGAAUACCCAGUCAGUCAUCUGCUACAGAGAAACUGCAGGUGCAGCUGGAGGACUGGGUGGAGGAUGUCAGAGCAGGAGAAAGCAACUUUAUGUCAACCUCCUAAGGCCCUUGAUGUGGAAGGAACAAUCACUUACACACACACAAAUGAUCAUUGUGAUUCCCAACUACAAGGACCUGCGGUGUGGGAAAGGAAGUUCUGCAUGGAAUUUGAAAGCUGGAUUUACAAGAGCCCUGGGUUAUGCUGUAUAGGUGGUACCUAUACUCAGAGUUCACCUGUAGCAACAAUGAUGCCUCUCAUGUUCUCCAUAUCCAAUCAGCAAUCUAGAAGGAGUUGUUUGAAGCCUGCAGAAUGCUGAGGUUUGGACACAUUUCUGAGGGGAGUGGCUUCCUGGUACUCAUGUGGCAUGGCAGAGCCGCCAGACAGCUUGCAGACUGGCUCUGUGAGUGUCUUUUGAACACUGCCUAGUUUCAUAUCGCCUCUGAUCUCAGCAUCACCCCCUCACUUAACAGAAAAGAGUCAUAUGUCUAAGCUCAUUAAAAUGCCCACGUUCACAGAGUCUUUUCAGUGUUUGUGGUUUUACGCAACUGAAAGCAGUAAACCUGUUAAGAGAUCCAUAGAUCCAUGGCUAAGGUCAAGCAAUCACUCACAUGAUACUGUCAGGCAAGGUAGAACUGGUGAUUCAAAGGAACUAGGUAUUUCCUAAUUCAACUUGCUAAAGUGCGGAGUCCAAGCAUUAAGGCUAUUUGAUUCCCUUAACAAACUGGGAAUGAGAUAAAAUUGCCUUCUUUGAUCUUGUUGUCAUUUUAUUUCCUUACCUUGAUGAAUAGCUACAACUUCAAUCCCUCCAUUUUGUCUCAGUGUCCUCCAG
Molecule: long non-coding RNA, 1015 nt
Filed under: Meriones unguiculatus (Mongolian gerbil)
Lineage: Eukaryota; Metazoa; Chordata; Mammalia; Rodentia; Muridae
Description: lncRNA (ENSMUGG00000014860.1)
Source: RNAcentral